Molecule: ribosomal RNA, 326 nt
Filed under: Candidatus Babelota bacterium
Lineage: Bacteria
Description: bacterial SSU rRNA
Rfam family: Bacterial small subunit ribosomal RNA
Source: RNAcentral
UGAAGAGUUUGAUUCUGGCUCAGAAUAAACGCUGGCGGCGUGCUUAACACAUGCAAGUCGAACGAGAAAGGUCUUCGGACUGAGUAAAGUGGCGAACGGGUGAGUAACGCGUGAGAAUCUACCCCUUAGUGAAGAAUACCUUCGAGAAAUCGAAGUUAAUGCUGCAUAAGCUCCUUAAUUGGAGGAAAGAUGGCCUCUUUGCUGUCGCUGAGGGAUGAGCUUGCGUACUAUUAGCUAGUUGGUGGGGUAAAGGCCUACCAAGGCGAGGAUGGUUAGCCGGCCUGAGAGGGUGUACGGCCACAUUGGAACUUAGACACGGUCCAGAC